This 536-nucleotide long non-coding RNA is filed under the name Fukomys damarensis (Damara mole-rat). Its description in RNAcentral is "lncRNA (ENSFDAG00000025516.1)". The record is from RNAcentral. Lineage: Eukaryota; Metazoa; Chordata; Mammalia; Rodentia; Bathyergidae.
GUUUGAGGUUAGGUCCUCAUAUCAUCUUGACAAAACCAAGAAAUACAAAAGAAGAUUCUCAGCACUCCAGAAGGCUAAUUCCCCAAAAGGCUAAUUACGGUUCCACAGCAAGCCAUGUUUAUUCUGAGAGCCUCUUCCAAGGCCUGGCAAGGAGGAUCCCCUGAGAGGUGGUAUGCCUGGGGACUGGCCAAACACCAUGCCCACACCUGUUCUUUACCCUAAUGAGGAAAAUAUCAAGAAGCAAAGAGGAAAACAUCACCCAUAAUCCAUCCAUCAGAGCCCUUCCACUUUAGGUAAUUAUAACAAAAUUUUUUCUUCUUUUUCUCCUAUGAACACUCCUACCUCUUCCUCCUGCCCCACUGUUGAGGACUACAUGCAGGGCUUUCACACUAAACUGCAUUUCCAGCCCUUUCAUUUUUCUGUUUUGAGAUGACGUCUUGCUAAAUCGCUACAUUGCCCAGGCUGGGCUGUUGCAAUCCUCCUGCCUCAGCCUCCUAGAGUGCUGGGGUUACAUUUGAUUUUAAAACCAUGUUGAG